Molecule: ribosomal RNA, 358 nt
Filed under: uncultured bacterium
Lineage: Bacteria
Description: bacterial SSU rRNA
Rfam family: Bacterial small subunit ribosomal RNA
Source: RNAcentral
GUAACACGUAGGAACCGUACCCAAGUGAGGGAUAGCACCGGAAACGGUGUCUAAUACCGCAUGUGAUUCUUCGGAUUAAAGCUUCGGCGCUUUUGGGGAACGGCUGCGCAUGAUUAGCUUGUUGGUGAGGUAAAAGCUCACCAAGGCGACGAUCAUUAGCUGGUCUGAGAGGAUGAUCAGCCAGACUGGGACUGAGAACGGCCAGACUCCUACGGGAGGCAGCAGUAGGUAUUUCCACAAUGGACGAAAGUCUGAUGGAGCAACGCCGCGUGCAGGAUGAAGGGUUUCGGCUCGUAAACUGCUUUUAUCUGUGAAGAUUAUGACGGUAGCAGAUGAAUAAGGAUCGGCUAACUCCGUG